Molecule: long non-coding RNA, 1225 nt
Filed under: Pogona vitticeps (central bearded dragon)
Lineage: Eukaryota; Metazoa; Chordata; Lepidosauria; Squamata; Agamidae
Description: lncRNA (ENSPVIG00000017109.1)
Source: RNAcentral
CUUUGCCCUAAAAAAAGAAGCCUGCCCUUUUUUGUGUGUGUGACUUCCUUUUGUGAAUGUUCAUCUCCAAAGAGACAAAAUUAGGAGAUCCCACAGAGCAGGAAGAAUUUAGGCAAAGAACGCAAGAAAGAGACUUUUAAAAAACGUCUGACCGUCUUGGUUAGUAUGAAUCCCUAGUAGAAAACACACUAUGGCUGGCAAUGACUGCAAAAGGUAAUGACAACCCUGGCACAUGUUAUUUAAUCCAGGGAGUCUCUGAAACUAUCAGAGUGGUUGCCUUCUGCCACCUACCUGAGAUCCUGGGUGUGCUGAGAGAUUACGGACACUUGGUGCCAUCAAGAAAAGCUACGCAGCCGGAGGUGAUACCAGAGGAGACGAGGAAUGCUACGGAGAGGCAGAUUCGCACGACCUUGAUCCUGUGCUAUGGGCAAGCAGCCCUGGGCGCAAAGCCGGAGGACAUGCUGAUGCUAGUGGACUUCAUCGUAGCUGAGAUCCUUUACCAGUUCCGUGGCACCAAUAAGGUCUUCUUCCCUUUCCUUUUGGACUCCUGUUACUCAGGGACUCCCAGCUUUCUUCUUUCGUGCAAAUUUUGGCAGUGGAGACAUCAGCUUCCCACAAAACCUCCAUCCAGGCACUGAAACGGUGUAUGUGUUAGGACUGACUCAGGGUGUGANNNNNNNGAUACAGGUUGAUCUGUUGUGAUUUGCACCUAUGAAAGUUGGGUUUCCCAGGUGAAUUUGCAGAGGGUCACCAGGGGGCAGAGGCGGAGAGCUUCUCCAACAGCAGGAGCUGCCUUAACAAGGUGCUAACAAGUGGUCAUUGGCACUUCCCACUUCUCUGUUUUUUUUUUAAUUGGUCUUGCUGAUGCUAUGAAAACAGUGAAAAUCUCUUCCACCGCUGAGGUGAAACCUUUUAAAAAAUGGUUUGGAGACGGGGUACUUGAUUGAGGGGAACUGGCAAUCCUGGAAGUGCCCCUUUCCUUUGGGUAAGGUAAUCACACUGGCCGAAAGCGGGUAAAAGUGAUGUCAAAACAACUGUAGUAAAUUUAAAUCACCCCAGCAGCUGAACAAAAAAAAGGACCAUACCCUGGUCAAAAAACACAUCCACAAUAGGCUUCUCCACAUACAGCGUUAUGUUGGGUAGCCUACAAAUUCAGAGGUUCUCCCUUUUUCCCCUUAUGUGAUGGUAUUUCUCCUCCAUUUGUCGACAAAUUAUGUUGUAUUAU